RNAcentral lists this transfer RNA (75 nucleotides) under Methanomethylicia archaeon. RNAcentral describes it as "Candidatus Methanomethylicia archaeon tRNA-Tyr". It matches the Rfam family "tRNA". Rfam says of the family: Transfer RNA (tRNA) molecules are approximately 80 nucleotides in length. Their secondary structure includes four short double-helical elements and three loops (D, anti-codon, and T loops). The record is from RNAcentral. Lineage: Archaea; Thermoproteati; Thermoproteota; Methanosuratincolia.
CCCCCCGUAGCUCAGAGGAAGAGCGCUCGGCUGUAGACCGAGUGGUCGGGGGUUCAAAUCCCCCCGGGGGGACCA